RNAcentral lists this ribosomal RNA (746 nucleotides) under uncultured Acidobacteriota bacterium. Its description in RNAcentral is "bacterial SSU rRNA". It matches the Rfam family "Bacterial small subunit ribosomal RNA", at positions 64 to 812 of the family's 1533-position model. The record is from RNAcentral. Lineage: Bacteria; Pseudomonadati; Acidobacteriota.
GAGUGCGUAGUCUGUAGCAAUACAGACGGGCGCACGGCGCACGGGUGCGUAACACGUGGGCAAUCUGCCCUUUGAUGGGGAAUAACCCCGCGAAAGCGGGGCUAAUUCCGCAUAACAUUCCCAUGACUUCGGUUGAGGGAUUCAAAGCAGUAAUGCGUCAAAGGAGGAGCCCGCGCCCGAUUAGCUAGUUGGUGAGGUAAUGGCUCACCGAGGCAAUGAUCGGUAGCUGGUCUGAGAGGAUGAUCAGCCACACUGGAACUGAGACACGGUCCAGACUCCUACGGGAGGCAGCAGUGGGGAAUCUUGCACAAUGGGCGAAAGCCUGAUGCAGCGACGCCGCGUGGGGGAUGAAGCAUUUCGGUGUGUAAACCCCUUUCGACCGGGAAGAAAACCCGCAAGGGAUUGACGGUACCGGUAUAAGAAGCCCCGGCUAACUACGUGCCAGCAGCCGCGGUAAGACGUAGGGGGCCAGCGUUGUUCGGAAUUACUGGGUGUAAAGGGUUCGUAGGCGGUGCGGCAAGUUGGGAGUGAAAUCUCUGGGCUCAACCCAGAGGCUGCUUCCAAAACUGCUGUGCUUGAGUGUGAGAGAGGCUCGUGGAAUUGCAGGUGUAGCGGUGAAAUGCGUAGAUAUCUGCAGGAACACCCGUGGCGAAAGCGGCGAGCUGGAUCACAACUGACGCUGAGGAACGAAAGCUAGGGGAGCAAACAGGAUUAGAUACCCUGGUAGUCCUAGCCCUAAACGAUCA